UACUGACGCUGAGGUACGAAAGCAUGGGGAGCAAACAGGAUUAGAUACCCUGGUAGUCCAUGCCGUAAACGAUGUCUACUAGCCGUUGGGGCCUUUGAGGCUUUAGUGGCGCAGCUAACGCGAUAAGUAGACCGCCUGGGGAGUACGGUCGCAAGACUAAAACUCAAAUGAAUUGACGGGGGCCCGCACAAGCGGUGGAGCAUGUGGUUUAAUUCGAUGCAACGCGAAGAACCUUACCUGGCCUUGACAUACUAGAAACUUUCCAGAGAUGGAUUGGUGCCUUCGGGAAUCUAGAUACAGGUGCUGCAUGGCUGUCGUCAGCUCGUGUCGUGAGAUGUUGGGUUAAGUCCCGCAACGAGCGCAACCCUUUUCCUUACUUGCCAGCAUUUCGGAUGGGAACUUUAAGGAUACUGCCAGUGACAAACUGGAGGAAGGCGGGGACGACGUCAAGUCAUCAUGGCCCUUACGGCCAGGGCUACACACGUGCUACAAUGGUCGGUACAAAGGGUUGCUACACAGCGAUGUGAUGCUAAUCUCAAAAAGCCGAUCGUAGUCCGG
This 558-nucleotide ribosomal RNA is filed under the name Acinetobacter baumannii OIFC143. RNAcentral describes it as "bacterial SSU rRNA". It matches the Rfam family "Bacterial small subunit ribosomal RNA", at positions 738 to 1296 of the family's 1533-position model. The record is from RNAcentral. Lineage: Bacteria; Pseudomonadati; Pseudomonadota; Gammaproteobacteria; Moraxellales; Moraxellaceae.